RNAcentral lists this ribosomal RNA (465 nucleotides) under uncultured bacterium. RNAcentral's name for it is "bacterial SSU rRNA". It matches the Rfam family "Bacterial small subunit ribosomal RNA", at positions 338 to 795 of the family's 1533-position model. The record is from RNAcentral.
CCUACGGGAGGCAGCAGUGGGGAAUUUUGGACAAUGGACGAAAGUCUGAUCCAGCAAUGCCGCGUGCAGGACGAAGGCCUUCGGGUUGUAAACUGCUUUUGUACGGAACGAAACGGUCUGCUUUAAUACAGCGGGCUAAUGACGGUACCGUAAGAAUAAGCACCGGCUAACUACGUGCCAGCAGCCGCGGUAAUACGUAGGGUGCGAGCGUUAAUCGGAAUUACUGGGCGUAAAGCGUGCGCAGGCGGUUAUAUAAGUCAGAUGUGAAAUCCCCGGGCUCAACCUGGGACCUGCAUUUGAGACUGUAUAGCUAGAGUACGGUAGAGGGGGAUGGAAUUCCGCGUGUAGCAGUGAAAUGCGUAGAUAUGCGGAGGAACACCGAUGGCGAAGGCAAUCCCCUGGACCUGUACUGACGCUCAUGCACGAAAGCGUGGGGAGCAAACAGGAUUAGAUACCCCGGUAGUC